AGCAGAAUAGCAGGGUCAAAUGGUGGUUCCAUUCCAAGUUUUCUAAGGAAUUCCCAUAUUGCUUUACAGAGUGGUUAUACCAAUUUGCAAUCCCACCAGCAAU
This 103-nucleotide microRNA precursor is filed under the name Marmota monax (woodchuck). Lineage: Eukaryota; Metazoa; Chordata; Mammalia; Rodentia; Sciuridae. The record is from RNAcentral.